RNAcentral lists this ribosomal RNA (547 nucleotides) under Hydraena cf. concinna IBE AF194. RNAcentral describes it as "partial 16S ribosomal RNA". The stretch from base 312 to 470 matches the Rfam family "Bacterial large subunit ribosomal RNA", at positions 2473 to 2632 of the family's 2925-position model. Lineage: Eukaryota; Metazoa; Arthropoda; Insecta; Coleoptera; Hydraenidae. The record is from RNAcentral.
GACUGUGCAAAGGUAGCAUAAUCAAUAGUUUCUUAAUUAGAAGCUGGAAUGAAUGGUUGGACGAGAAAUUGACUGUCUUUAUUUAUAAAUUAAAAUUUUAUUUUUAAGUUAAAAAGCUUAAAUAAUUUUAAAAGACGAGAAGACCCUAUAGAGUUUUAUAAUUUAUAAAAUUUUAAUUAUAGAAUUAUUUUUAUUUUAUUAAUUAUUUUAUUGGGGUGAUAUAUAAAUUUAAUAAACUUUAUAUUUUUUUAUACAUUAAUAAAUGAUUUUAUGAUCCAUUAUUUAUGAUUAAAAGAAAAAAUUACCUUAGGGAUAACAGCGUUAUUUUUUUUUAGAGUUCAAAUCGAAAAAAAAGUUUGCGACCUCGAUGUUGGAUUAAAAUUAAUUUUUGGUGUAGAAGCUAAAAAAUUAGGUCUGUUCGACCUUUAAAAUUUUACAUGAUCUGAGUUUAAACCGGUGUGAGCCAGGUUGGUUUCUAUCUUUAAAAUAUUUAAAUAUUUUAGUACGAAAGGACCAAAUAUUUUUAAAAUUUAAUUUAAUUUGAAUA